Molecule: ribosomal RNA, 440 nt
Filed under: uncultured bacterium
Lineage: Bacteria
Description: bacterial SSU rRNA
Rfam family: Bacterial small subunit ribosomal RNA
Source: RNAcentral
CCUACGGGAGGCAGCAGUGGGGAAUAUUGCACAAUGGGGGAAACCCUGAUGCAGCAACGCCGCGUGAGCGAUGAAGGCCUUCGGGUCGUAAAGCUCUGUCCUACGGGAAGAAUAUUGACGGUACCUUAGGAGGAAGCCCCGGCUAACUACGUGGCCGCAGCCGGGGUAAUACGUAGGGGGCUAGCGUUAUCCGGAAUUACUGGUCGCAAAGGGUGCGCAGGCGGCACUUCAAUUCCAAGUUGAAAGGGUACGGAUAAACCGUAGUCAGCAUUUGAAACUGUAGGCCUUGUGUGAAGGUGAGUCGAGGGUAAUCCCCGGUUUAGCCGUGAAAUGCGUUGAUAUUGGGAGGAACACCAGUUGCGAAGGCGGCUCUCUGGAUUGUAACUGACGCUGAGGCACGAAAGCGUGGGGAGCGAACAGGAUUAGAUACCCGAGUAGUC